CGGGCUAUAGCUCAGCUGGGAGAGCGCUUGCAUGGCAUGCAAGAGUCAGCGGUUCGAUCCGCUUAGCUCCACCA
RNAcentral lists this transfer RNA (74 nucleotides) under Ralstonia solanacearum. RNAcentral describes it as "tRNA-Ala". It matches the Rfam family "tRNA". Rfam says of the family: Transfer RNA (tRNA) molecules are approximately 80 nucleotides in length. Their secondary structure includes four short double-helical elements and three loops (D, anti-codon, and T loops). Further hydrogen bonds mediate the characteristic L-shaped molecular structure. tRNAs have two regions of fundamental functional importance: the anti-codon, which is responsible for specific mRNA codon recognition, and the 3' end, to which the tRNAs corresponding amino acid is attached (by aminoacyl-tRNA synthetases). tRNAs cope with the degeneracy of the genetic code in two manners: having more than one tRNA (with a specific anti-codon) for a particular amino acid; and 'wobble' base-pairing, i.e. permitting non-standard base-pairing at the 3rd anti-codon position. Lineage: Bacteria; Pseudomonadati; Pseudomonadota; Betaproteobacteria; Burkholderiales; Burkholderiaceae. The record is from RNAcentral.